Molecule: long non-coding RNA, 616 nt
Organism: Lycium ferocissimum
Lineage: Eukaryota; Viridiplantae; Streptophyta; Magnoliopsida; Solanales; Solanaceae
Exons: 2
Source: RefSeq, a predicted model, not a curated record
CUUUGUUUUUUUUUUUUUCUUUUUUCUUUUUCCCUUCUGAUGCUUUUGGUGCCAAAGCUUGAGGGAAGAAUUAGAAAUAGAACUUUUUGCUAGUUGAUUAUCCUAUUAUCUACAUAUUAUGAGUUGAGAAAUCGAUAUAAGAGAGAAUCUGACGGCUAGAAGGGACAUAGAUAUAGGUAGAUAAGAGGGGGAUGGAGCCUUUAUUAAAUGGAUUCAACUGAACUAGUGUUUUUUUGGUAUGGAACAUGUAUGUGAAAAAGAGAGCAUUAAAGUUUCAACUGUAGUUUGUAAUAGAGAAAGUUAAAUUGUGGAUCUGCCUCUGCGCGAGAUCUUAUCUAAAGCUUUCAUUUUUGGUUAAGAUGUUGCCAUACUUCAAUUUGAUCCCUGCCUGAUUUGGCCUUGACUUAAGCUAACGCGGGAACCAGAGAGACAGAGAUCGUGAAAGGGCACAAGCCAGAGGAAACCACAAGGCCAAGAAUCCUAAAAAUGAUGGAUUAACCCCUGAACAACGACGAGAAAGGGACGCAAAAGCCCUUCAAGAAAAGGCGAAAAAGAAAGCAGCACAGGUGGCUGGUGGAGGGAAUAUCGACAAAUCGGAAAGUUAUAACAUCAAGAA